RNAcentral lists this unclassified non-coding RNA (263 nucleotides) under plant metagenome. RNAcentral describes it as "partial contains small subunit ribosomal RNA, internal transcribed spacer 1, and 5.8S ribosomal RNA". The record is from RNAcentral.
GUCUCCGUUGGUGAACCAGCGGAGGGAUCAUGACCGAGUUUACAACUCCCAAACCCCUAUGUGAACGUUACCAAACUGUUGCCUCGGCGGGAAAUUCAUGCCCCGGGCGCGUCGCAGCCCCGGACCAAGGCGCCCGCCGGAGGACCAACAAAAACUCUUUUGUAUGUCCCUCGCGGACUUUUAUAAUUCUGUACCAUCUCGGCGCCCCUAGCGGGCGUUUCGAAAAUGAAUCAAAACUUUCAACAACGGAUCUCUUGGUUCUG